Non-coding RNA from Pelobates cultripes (western spadefoot toad), 282 nucleotides. The record is from the annotation of a GenBank genome assembly. Lineage: Eukaryota; Metazoa; Chordata; Amphibia; Anura; Pelobatidae.
GUGUGAGUACGCAUGACCGCUACAGUGAAACUACAAAGAGCUCAUUAAAUCAGUUAUGGUUCCUUUAAUUGCUUACUCUGUUACUUGGAUAACUGUGGUAAUUCUAGAGCUAAGAAAAUGCCAACGAGCGCAGACCCCCAUGGAUGUGUGUGCAUUUUUCAGACCAUCCGGGUCUGGAGGGAGUCAUGUUCUUGGGUUGCCAUGUUCUUUUCGCACUUUUCUUUCCACACCUUUUCUAAUAUACCAUGAUCCAUGAUGUGUACCAGGGUUUUUUCCCCUGAG